ACGACUGCUAAGACUGGAUAGGAAAUUAAGAGGCAUCUUUUAAUUUUUAGAAGACCUUUUCGAAAGGUAUGCUUAAAGAGGGGCUUGCGCCACAUUAGUUAGUUGGUAAGGUAAAAGCUUACCAAGACGAUGAUGUGUAGCUGGACUGAGAGGUCGAACAGCCACAUUGGGACUGAGACACGGCCCAAACUCCUACGGGAGGCAGCAGUAAGGAAUUUUUGGCAAUGGAGGAAACUCUGACCGAGCGACGCCGCGUGAACAAUGAAGUACUUCGGUAUGUAAAGUUCUUUUAUUGGAAAAGAAAAAAUAGUGGAAAAACUAUCUUGACAUUAUUCAAUGAAUAAGCCCCGGCUAAUUAUGUGCCAGCAGCCGCGGUAAUACAUAAGGGGCGAGCGUUAUCCGGAAUUAUUGGGCGUAAAGGGUGCGUAGGCGAUUUGAUAAGUCUAUAGUUUAAAUGCAGUGCUUAACGCUGUAGCGCUAUAGAAACUGUCUGACUAGAGCUAGAUAGAGGCAAGCGGAAUUCCAUGUGUAGCGGUAAAAUGCGUAAAUAUAUGGAGGAACACCAGAGGCGUAGGCGGCUUGCUGGGUCUUAACUGACGCUGAGGCACGAAAGCGUGGGGAGCAAACAGGAUUAGAUACCCUGGUAGUCCACGCCGUAACGAUGAGUACUAAGUGUCGGGUUUCGGCUCGGUACUGAAGUUAACACAUUAAGUACUCCGCCUGAGUAGUACGUACGCAAGUAUGAAACUUAAAGGAAUUGACGGGACCCCGCACAAGCGGUGGAUCAUGUUGUUUAAUUCGAAGAUACACGAAAAACCUUACCAGGUCUUGACAUAAUUUUGCGACAUUAUAGAAAUAUAAUGAAAGGUAUCAGAAUUACAGGUGGUGCAUGGUUGUCGUCAGCUCGUGUCGUGAGAUGUUAGGUUAAGUCCUAAAACGAGCGCAACCCUUGUCGUUAGUUGCGACCACAUAAUGGUGAGCACUUUAGCGAGACUGCCAAUGAAAAAUUGGAGGAAGGUGAGGAUUACGUCAAAUCAUCAUGCCCCUUAUGAUCUGGGCUACAAACGUGAUACAAUGGCUGUUACAAAGAGUAGCUACAACGUGAGUUUUUAGCCAAUCUCAAAAAAACAGUCUCAGUUCGGAUUGAAGUCUGCAACUCGACUUCAUGAAGUUGGAAUCGCUAGUAAUCGCGAAUCAGCAUGUCGCGGUGAAUACGUUCUCGGGGUUUGUACACACCGCCCGUCA
This 1245-nucleotide ribosomal RNA is filed under the name Candidatus Phytoplasma phoenicium. RNAcentral's name for it is "bacterial SSU rRNA". It matches the Rfam family "Bacterial small subunit ribosomal RNA", at positions 156 to 1399 of the family's 1533-position model. The record is from RNAcentral. Lineage: Bacteria; Bacillati; Mycoplasmatota; Mollicutes; Acholeplasmatales; Acholeplasmataceae.